UUGAUCCUGGCUCAGGAUGAACGCCAGCGGCGGGCUUAACACAUGCAAGUCGAGGGGUAACAGGUCACUUCGGUGAUGCUGACGACCGGCGCACGGGUGAGUAACGCGUAUGGAACCUACCUGAAACAGGGGGAUAGCUUCCGGAAACGGGGAUUAAUACCGCAUACGAUUCAUUUGUGGCCUCACAAAUGGAUAAAAGCUACGGCGGUUUCAGAUGGCCAUGCGUACCAUUAGUUAGUUGGUGAGGUAAAGGCUCACCAAGGCGAUGAUGGUUAGGGGUCCUGAGAGGGUAGUCCCCCACACUGGUACUGAGACACGGACCAGACUCCUACGGGAGGCAGCAGUGAGGAAUAUUGGUCAAUGGGCGCUAGCCUGAACCAGCCAUGCCGCGCGCAGGAAGACGGCCCUACGGGUUGUAAACUGCUUUUCUGCAGGAAGAAUAUAUAGUCUUAGGGGUAUAUUGACGGUACUGCAGGAAUAAGCAUCGGCUAACUCCGUGCCAGCAGCCGCGGUAAUACGGAGGAUGCAAGCGUUAUCCGGAUUCAUUGGGUUUAAAGGGUGCGCAGGCUGUAAGGCAAGUCAGUGGUGAAAGCCCUGGGCUUAACUCAGGGAUUGCCAUUGAAACUGUUUUACUAGAGUGUAGUAGAGGACGGCGGAAUGAGUUGUGUAGCGGUGAAAUGCAUAGAUAUAACUCAGAACACCUAUUGCGUAGGCAGCUGUCUAUACUACAACUGACGCUGAGGCACGAAAGCGUGGGGAGCGAACAGGAUUAGAUACCCUGGUAGUCCACGCUGUAAACGAUGAUCACUCGGUAGUAGGCUAACUUAGUAGUCAGUGACCAAGGGAA
RNAcentral lists this ribosomal RNA (847 nucleotides) under uncultured organism. RNAcentral describes it as "bacterial SSU rRNA". It matches the Rfam family "Bacterial small subunit ribosomal RNA", at positions 13 to 854 of the family's 1533-position model. The record is from RNAcentral.